This 396-nucleotide unclassified non-coding RNA is filed under the name Hevea brasiliensis (rubber tree). Lineage: Eukaryota; Viridiplantae; Streptophyta; Magnoliopsida; Malpighiales; Euphorbiaceae. The record is from RNAcentral.
GCGCGGAGCAGAGGAAACCUUGGAGGAGUGAGCACUCAAAGGUGGGGCAUCGUAGGUGGGUCUGAGAACAGUGAAGUUCUAUGUGGCCCUCGGGACUGAGAUUAUGACUAAAUAGAAAAUCGAAGGAGAUGAUUUAAACUUUGUGACGGUGACUUCGAAGGUGUUGUAGUUUUAUGUGGGUUUUAUGAGUUGUGACAAAAUGGGUAUGGUGAUGCACUAUUUGAGAAGUGCUGGGCUUCGGUCAGUUUGGAUAGGAAGGAUGAAGGGCGUGGAGCUAGUGAUGUACGAGAGUUGGGUUUUCGGGGCAUGAAAGGUGGAGAUGGUGGCAAGCGUUAAGGGUAAGCUGGAUUCGGAUGGAGCUGCUGGUGUUCAGAGAGACAUUUAAGCGAGUUGUGU